Molecule: ribosomal RNA, 653 nt
Filed under: Sporothrix sp. TMS-2011
Lineage: Eukaryota; Fungi; Ascomycota; Sordariomycetes; Ophiostomatales; Ophiostomataceae
Description: eukaryotic LSU rRNA
Rfam family: 5.8S ribosomal RNA (bases 238-391)
Source: RNAcentral
UCUUGGUCAUUUAGAGGAAGUAAAAGUCGUAACAAGGUCUCCGUUGGUGAACCAGCGGAGGGAUCAUUACUGAGUUCUAGCAACUCCCAACCCUGUGAACUAUACCAUUUUUGUUCUCGUUGCUUCUGGCAGGCGGCGGCCCUCUCUGGAGGGCGCGGCCUGCCUGCCAGAGGCGGCUUGCACGAACCUUCUAUUUUUCUUACCUGACCGUCUGAGUACGAUUUUCAAUCAAAUCAAAACUUUCAACAACGGAUCUCUUGGCUCUGGCAUCGAUGAAGAACGCAGCGAAAUGCGAUAAGUAAUGUGAAUUGCAGAAUUCAGCGAAUCAUCGAAUCUUUGAACGCACAUUGCGCCUGCCAGCAUUCUGGCAGGCAUGCCUGUCCGAGCGUCAUUUCCACCCUCAUGCGCCCUGUCUGCGCGUGGUGUUGGGGCUCUGCUCUCCCUGCCCUGGUGCGGGAGAGGCCCUGAAAGCGAGUGGCGGGCCGCCUGGUUGGCUCCGAGCGCAGUAGAAACGCACUGUUUUUUUCAUCGCUCUGGACGUCGCCGGCGGCGCCUGCCGUCAAAACGCACAAUGACGUGCAACUUUUUACAAGGUUGACCUCGGAUCAGGUAGGACUACCCGCUGAACUUAAGCAUAUCAAUAAGCGGAGGAA